ACGAUAACUUCAACACGGCUUGUGGGGCCGACGCUGCUCUAUACUGGCUCCUCCUCCUAUAGCCGUUGUUCACCCAGUUACCGUUACGUGUAAUCAAAAUUUGAAAUGGGCUAAUCUGUAUGACAGACUGUAUCGGUACAAGUAAUUGUAACUUACGAAUAUGGGCGAAUGUUUUACAACAACACUGCUCAGAUUAUGAGGGAUAACCUCAGACUUAUUCAAACAUAUCUCCUAAACUCAC
Molecule: long non-coding RNA, 241 nt
Filed under: Brassica napus (rape)
Lineage: Eukaryota; Viridiplantae; Streptophyta; Magnoliopsida; Brassicales; Brassicaceae
Description: long non-coding RNA (BNAP_LNC024945)
Source: RNAcentral